RNAcentral lists this ribosomal RNA (340 nucleotides) under Josifovius dimorphus. RNAcentral's name for it is "partial large subunit ribosomal RNA". Lineage: Eukaryota; Metazoa; Arthropoda; Insecta; Hemiptera; Miridae. The record is from RNAcentral.
UUUUAUAUAAAAAAAUUGAUUUUUGAGUCAAAAAGUUCAAAUAAAAUUAGAGGACGAGAAGACCCUAUAGAGCUUUACUUUUUGUUUUAUAUUUUGUUUAUGGUAAAUAAUUUUUAGGUAUGACUUAAAGAGUUUUGUUGGGGUGACAAAAAAAAAUUCAUAACUUUUUUUAUUUUUUUCACUUAUGUGUGUAUAUUUGAUCCUGUAUUAUGGAUAUAAGAUUAAGCUACCUUAGGGAUAACAGCGUUAUUGUCUUAGAGAGUUCAUAUCGAUAGGAUAGUUUGCGACCUCGAUGUUGGAUUAAAAUUAGUGUCAGGGGUAGAAUAUUGAUUACUAGGUC